RNAcentral lists this ribosomal RNA (327 nucleotides) under uncultured bacterium. Its description in RNAcentral is "bacterial SSU rRNA". It matches the Rfam family "Bacterial small subunit ribosomal RNA", at positions 29 to 334 of the family's 1533-position model. The record is from RNAcentral.
UACGAACGCUGGCGGCGCGCCUAACACAUGCAAGUCGAACGGAGUUAUUUCAGCAGAAGCUUUCGGGUGGACGCAGGGAUAACUUAGUGGCGAACGGGUGAGUAACACGUGAGGAACCUGCCCUGGAGUGGGGGAUAACAGUUGGAAACGACUGCUAAUACCGCAUAAGCCCACAGCACCGCAUGGUGCAGCGGGAAAAGGAGCAAUUCGCUUCAGGAUGGCCUCGCGUCCAAUUAGGUAGUUGGUGAGGUAACGGCCCACCAAGGCGACGAUCGGUAGCCGGACUGAGAGGUUGAACGGCCACAUUGGGACUGAGACACGGCCCAG